GAUGAACGCUGGCGGCGUGCCUAAUACAUGCAAGUCGAGCGAACAGACGAGGAGCUUGCUCCUCUGACGUUAGCGGCGGACGGGUGAGUAACACGUGGAUAACCUACCUAUAAGACUGGGAUAACUUCGGGAAACCGGAGCUAAUACCGGAUAAUAUAUUGAACCGCAUGGUUCAAUAGUGAAAGACGGGUGUGGUGUCACUUAUAGAUGGAUCCGCGCCGCAUUAGCUAGUUGGUAAGGUAACGGCUUACCAAGGCAACGAUGCGUAGCCGACCUGAGAGGGUGAUCGGCCACCCUGGAACUGAGCCACGGUCCAGACUCCUACGGGAGGCAGCAGUAGGGAAUCUUCCGCAAUGGGCGAAAGCCUGACGGAGCAACGCCGCGUGAGUGAUGAAGGUCUUCGGAUCGUAAAACUCUGUUAUUAGGGAAGAACAAAUGUGUAAGUAACUAUGCACGUCUUGACGGUACCUAAUCAGAAAGCCACGGCUAACUACGUG
Molecule: ribosomal RNA, 497 nt
Filed under: uncultured bacterium
Lineage: Bacteria
Description: partial 16S ribosomal RNA
Rfam family: Bacterial small subunit ribosomal RNA
Source: RNAcentral